CCGAAGGCUAGAGCGAAGGGGGUCUCCCCUGUGGGCAGUCUUUGGGUAGUUCGGUACGUCCACAACACAUGAUAAAGUUUGUCUGCCCAAGUUUCCUUCGCUUUUUCGAGCCUUGUCUUGAUCCCUUGCAGCAGAGUUCUGUUGGUCACUUCAGCUUUGCCGUUCGCCUGAGGAUGGGCUACCGAUGUGAAGUUGUGGG
This 199-nucleotide long non-coding RNA is filed under the name Elaeis guineensis (African oil palm). Its description in RNAcentral is "long non-coding RNA (EGUI_LNC048611)". The record is from RNAcentral. Lineage: Eukaryota; Viridiplantae; Streptophyta; Magnoliopsida; Arecales; Arecaceae.